RNAcentral lists this ribosomal RNA (483 nucleotides) under uncultured bacterium. Its description in RNAcentral is "partial 16S ribosomal RNA". It matches the Rfam family "Bacterial small subunit ribosomal RNA", at positions 28 to 507 of the family's 1533-position model. The record is from RNAcentral.
GACGAACGCUGGCGGCGUGCUUAACACAUGCAAGUCGAACGAUGAAGCGGGUGCUUGCACUCGUGGAUUAGUGGCGAACGGGCGAGUAACACGUGAGUAACCUGUCCUUUUCUUUGGGAUAACGGCUGGAAACGGCUGCCAAUACUGGAUAUUCAGGCUGCAUCGCAUGGUGUGGUUUGGAAAGGUUUUUUCUGGGAUUGGGUGGGCUCGCGGCCUAUCAGCUUGUUGGUGGGGUGAUGGCUUACCAAGGCUUUGACGGGUAGCCGGCCUGAGAGGGUGGUCGGUCGCACUGGGACUGAGGUACGGCCCAGACUCCUACGGGAGGCAGCAGUGGGGAAUAUUGCACAAUGGACGAAAGUUUGAUGCAGCGACGCCGCGUGGAGGGUGUAGGCCUUCGGGUUGUGAACUCCUUUGUCUCGCGAAAAAGGCACAGUUUUGGCUGUGUUGAUGGUAGUGGGGGAAGAAGCGCCGGCUAACUACGUG